CCUACGGGAGGCAGCAGUGAGGAAUAUUGGUCAAUGGCCGGAAGGCUGAACCAGCCAUGCCGCGUGAAGGUCAGUGCCCUAUGGGCGUUAAACUUCUUUUGUGCGGGAGCAAUAAUGGUCACGUGUGGCCAGACGAGAGUACCGUACGAAUAAGCAUCGGCUAACUCCGUGCCAGCAGCCGCGGUAAUACGGGGGAUGCAAGCGUUAUCCGGAUUUAUUGGGUUUAAAGGGUGCGUAGGCUGUGAGGUAAGUCAGCGGUGAAAUGCCCCCGCUCAACGGGGUGAAGUGCCAUUGAUACUGCCUGGCUGGAGUGCGGAUGCGGUGGGAGGAAUGUGUGGUGUAGCGGUGAAAUGCAUAGAUAUCACACAGAACACCGAUUGCGAAGGCAUCUCACGAAUCCGCGAUUGACGCUGAUGCACGAAAGCGUGGGUAUCAAACAGGAUUAGAUACCCUAGUAGUC
This 460-nucleotide ribosomal RNA is filed under the name uncultured bacterium. RNAcentral describes it as "partial 16S ribosomal RNA". It matches the Rfam family "Bacterial small subunit ribosomal RNA", at positions 338 to 795 of the family's 1533-position model. The record is from RNAcentral.